AUGCCAGCCAUUCUCUCCGACGCAAUUCCAGCCACCGGACUCGCACUCCACGCACACCCAGGCCCGCGCAUAACAACACCACUGACGCACCAGAGCCGCCGCGAAGACCGCCAGACAGCUCCAGAUCGCAUCACUCCGACGAUGUCAACAACCUCUCCGCCACCAGCACUUGCUUUCCGACAUCGGUAA
This is a non-coding RNA of Vicia faba (fava bean), 189 nucleotides long. Lineage: Eukaryota; Viridiplantae; Streptophyta; Magnoliopsida; Fabales; Fabaceae. The record is from the annotation of a GenBank genome assembly.